GACGAAGGUGGCAAGCGUUGUUCGGAAUCACUGGGCAUAAAGGGCGCGUAGGCGGCUGUGUAAGUCAGGUGUGAAAGCCCUCGGCUCAACCGAGGAACUGCGCCUGAUACUGCACGGCUUGAGGUCCGGAGGGGAGAGUGGAAUUCCCGGUGGAGCGGUGAAAUGCGUAGAGAUCGGGAAGAACGCCGGCGGCGAAAGCGACUCUCUGGUCGGAAUCUAACGCUGAGGCGCGAAAGCUAGGGGAGCAAACGGG
Molecule: ribosomal RNA, 253 nt
Filed under: uncultured bacterium
Lineage: Bacteria
Description: partial 16S ribosomal RNA
Rfam family: Bacterial small subunit ribosomal RNA
Source: RNAcentral